UUCGUAGGCGGUCAAGCAAGUCAGGGGUGAAAUCUAUCGGCUCAACCGAUAAAUUGCCCUUGAAACUGCCUGACUUGAGUACGAGAUAGGAAAGCGGAAUUCUCGGUGUAGCGGUGAAAUGCGUGGAUAUCGAGAGGAACACCAGUGGCGAAAGCGGCUUUCUGGCUCGAUACUGACGCUGAGGAACGAAAGCCAGGGGAGCGGAACG
RNAcentral lists this ribosomal RNA (208 nucleotides) under uncultured bacterium. RNAcentral's name for it is "partial 16S ribosomal RNA". It matches the Rfam family "Bacterial small subunit ribosomal RNA", at positions 568 to 775 of the family's 1533-position model. The record is from RNAcentral.